RNAcentral lists this ribosomal RNA (613 nucleotides) under uncultured bacterium. RNAcentral describes it as "bacterial SSU rRNA". It matches the Rfam family "Bacterial small subunit ribosomal RNA", at positions 338 to 953 of the family's 1533-position model. The record is from RNAcentral.
CCUACGGGAGGCAGCAGUAAGGAAUAUUGGUCAAUGGGCGCAAGCCUGAACCAGCCAUGCCGCGUGCAGGAAGACGGCCCUAUGGGUUGUAAACUGCUUUUGAACAAGAGAAAACCUCGGUACGUGUACCGAGCUGAUAGUAUUGUUAGAAUAAGCAUCGGCUAACUUCGUGCCAGCAGCCGCGGUAAGACGAAGGAUGCAAGCGUUAUCCGGAUUCAUUGGGUUUAAAGGGUGCGUAGGCGGCCUGAUAAGUCAGUGGUGAAAUCUCUCAGCUUAACUGAGAAACUGCCAUUGAUACUGUCGGGCUUGAGUACAGAUGAUGUGGGCGGAAUAUGACAUGUAGUGGUGAAAUACUUAGAUAUGUCAUAGAACACCGAUUGCGAAGGCAGCUCACAAAACUGUAACUGACGCUGAGGCACGAAAGUGCGGGGAUCAAACAGGAUUAGAUACCCUGGUAGUCCGCACCGUAAACGAUGAUUACUCGUUGUUGGCAAUAUGACCGUCAGCGACCAAGCGAAAGCGANAAGUAAUCCACCUGGGGAGUACGCCGGCAACGGUGAAACUCAAAGGAAUUGACGGCGNGAGAGNGCGACGGACGACACGAGGGAGGAGG